RNAcentral lists this long non-coding RNA (676 nucleotides) under Phoenix dactylifera (date palm). Its description in RNAcentral is "long non-coding RNA (PDAC_LNC019448)". Lineage: Eukaryota; Viridiplantae; Streptophyta; Magnoliopsida; Arecales; Arecaceae. The record is from RNAcentral.
GACUCACCUAUAUGUGCAGUCGUGAGGCCGCGAUUAUGGGAAAUGGGCGAUUUCCUAAAAAGCACAUGAUAGAUAUCUGCGCAUGGCCAUAACAGCGCAACCCGCUUAGAACCCAGAUCGGGCUAUAUUAUGUGUGUUGUUGAUUUAAUCUGAGCCAUGGACCGAGGUUCAAGGUUAAGACCACCUUGGCUCCACAGAUGUAAUCAAUUGUCACUAAGUGAAGGUUCAAACCGAAAGGUACCUACACCUAUUACAUAAUAUAAGAUAUCCAGCAUUUUAUUUUGAUUUUAAAAUUAUUUAAAUUUUUUGUGGGGGAUUGUUGGAAAAAAUUUAAAUGCGCACGCGACCCGAAAUUUGGCCGCGUGCGCGUUUGAGAGAAAAAAAAAGAAAGGGGUAACGCCCAGCGGGCGUUACGCUUUGGAAACGGCCGCGGCCGCGGCCGCGUGCUCGUUUGAAAACGAAAACGCCAACGGGCGUUUUCGUUCGCAUUAAAUGGACGCGUGCGCCCAUUGGCGCACGUUGCGCGGACGCGUCCGCGGAAGGCGCGGACGCGUCCGCCGAAAAGACCAUAUUGCCCCCGAUUAAAUCCCUAUAUAAACCCCUCCAUUUCAUCUCUUUAGAAACACGAAAAAUUUCAGAAAAAUAGUGGAAAAAUUCUGAAAAAAAUUCUUCUCCC